UCUCUCUCAACAUUCCUACUUUCAUUCUCAAAUUGAAAAUCCCUAAUUGAGAAUGGAAUUCCGUCUCCAUUCCUCUCCUCUCUCUCCGGCAAAUUCAGUGUCGCCUCUUUCCAAUCGCCGGCGCUCCGUCGCCAGCGUCGCAGUGCCUCCUCGCCGGCUCCUUUCCCCCACCCAUUCAUUCUCAAAUUCAAACUUAAAUCCCAAAAUGUAGUGAGGGAUCAGCGGCGCCUCCACUCUUCUUUUCUCACUCCCUCGUCGGAUCUGUCACGAUCGAGCUCUCCCUCUCUUUCCUCCGAUUUCGCGGCCCACGGCACCACCACCAGCCGCCAUCUUCUUCGCAAGGCAUCGCCGCCGUAGCAGCUCCACCAUCACCGCCUCUCUCGCGGUGUCAGGUUGGGGACCGGCGAGUAGCAUUGCCGGCUUCUCCCAUUCCCUCACAACGUCGGUCCCUUCGAGCUGCUUGGGGUCGGUCACCGUCGAAGCUGCCGUAUCAGUGCCCCAUCUGUCGGGCUCGUCUGCCACCUCUAGCGGUGUGCUGUGUAGCUGCUGCCCGGUUGGGGUCGCUGUUGUACUAUGGAGUCCACGCGGCUGCCCUCGUGGCCUCGCCGUCGCCGGUGGUCUCCGAGGCAGCCCCUCGUCCUUAAAGCUAAGUUCUUUUACUCCUUUUCAUUACUUAGUUUGAUUGAUUAUGAACUUUGGGCAGUAGCUAGGUGAUGUUGAAGGUCUUGACUAUAAUGUGCUAAAGCUUUGAUCUUUCCUUGGGCCGUAGUCAUGAUAAAUCGUUACUGAUCUUGGGCAAAAAGCAACUUGUGAUAUUUUUUGUUCUAAAUCAUGUGAUGUGGAAAUCCUAAAGCUCUAAGUUCUUGAGCAUGGGGUUCUAAUAUGAUGCAGAGGUUGGUUUUGUGGGGAUUACCUUGCUCGGUGAUUACUUUCGGUUGCGGGGCUGCUCCUAUCUCGCUGUCUCUCCUUCCUCCCUUGUUGCUCCUUUGUUCCUCGAACCUUUGGGAGUCGAAAAGUGGGAGGAGGGUGGUGAUGGGUGGUAUUUAUAGCCGAGUCCUUGGCUAGUGAGGGCUGAUCCUUAGGAGCUGGAUUCUCCAAAUCCAGUUAGGGGUUGCCUCCCCUUUCAUAUUUUCUUAAUAGGCUUCCAUACCUAUAUUGGUGAAAUUUUUAGGAGAGUGGCCCAUGGCUGAUCUCACUCUCUAUUUUGUUACUGAUGGAGGGAUUUGUUUCCCCUUUUUGAUCUCUUGAUGAGCUCAUCUCUCUUAUGCCACUUUGUUUCUUCCUAAGCUUGGAGGAGGACAACUCAUGCCAUCUAUAGGAGACUACAAAUUGACCCCUUGGCAUGGAGUGGGGAUUAAGAAUCGAGAUAUGUGUAGAAGGAGUCUCAAGGAAGAUUUGAGGAUCUUAUAGUUGUCUCUUUGUCUCACUUUGGUUUGAUGAUGUAGAGUGACCUUUGUAAAGAAGUUGUACUAUUUCCAUUUAAUCCUCACAUAGGACAAGUAUCCUACUACUUGUGUAAGGUAGACUUGCACCUUUGUGCAUUUGGCUUCCACAUUUCCUGUUUGGUGAAAUGUAGCUUCUAAAUUUCAUACACAAAAGUAGCAUGUACUCCCAUCUUCACAUAUUCUCAUGUAUAUGUAUUGUAGUACUUUCUGAAGGUGACAAACAUUGUACAUAUAUUUUUAGUAUUUUCCUUGAAAUUCUUUGCUA
Salvia splendens (bonfire salvia) is the source of this 1710-nucleotide long non-coding RNA. RefSeq lists it as uncharacterized. The record is from RefSeq and is a predicted model, not a curated record. The transcript is spliced from 2 exons. NCBI's taxonomy places the organism in Eukaryota, Viridiplantae, Streptophyta, Magnoliopsida, Lamiales, Lamiaceae.